This 251-nucleotide ribosomal RNA is filed under the name uncultured bacterium. RNAcentral describes it as "partial 16S ribosomal RNA". It matches the Rfam family "Bacterial small subunit ribosomal RNA", at positions 524 to 776 of the family's 1533-position model. The record is from RNAcentral.
UACGUAGGGUGCGAGCGUUAAUCGGAAUACUGGGCGUAAAGGGUGCGCAGGCGGUUAUAUAAGACAGAUGUGAAAUCCCCGGGCUCAACCUGGGACUGCGUUUGUGACUGUAUGACUAGAGUACGGUAGAGAGGGGUGGAAUUCCUGGUGUAGCAGUGAAAUGCGUAGAUAUCAGGAAGAACACCCGUGGCGAAGGCGGCUCUCUGGGACGGUACUGACGCUGAGACGCGAAAGCGUGGGGAGCGAACAGG